RNAcentral lists this ribosomal RNA (141 nucleotides) under Bacillus licheniformis. RNAcentral's name for it is "partial 16S ribosomal RNA". It matches the Rfam family "Bacterial small subunit ribosomal RNA", at positions 1393 to 1533 of the family's 1533-position model. Lineage: Bacteria; Bacillati; Bacillota; Bacilli; Caryophanales; Bacillaceae. The record is from RNAcentral.
CCCGUCACACCACGAGAGUUUGUAACACCCGAAGUCGGUGAGGUAACCUUUUGGAGCCAGCCGCCGAAGGUGGGACAGAUGAUUGGGGUGAAGUCGUAACAAGGUAGCCGUAUCGGAAGGUGCGGCUGGAUCACCUCCUUU